This 1192-nucleotide long non-coding RNA is filed under the name Cyanistes caeruleus (blue tit). RNAcentral describes it as "lncRNA (ENSCCEG00000009981.1)". The record is from RNAcentral. Lineage: Eukaryota; Metazoa; Chordata; Aves; Passeriformes; Paridae.
CUACAUCAGUGGAAUCUUCCAAGAUUCUGGAAAUGUAAACAGCUGUUCAAUUUUCUCUGUGUUCAUGGUGGAUACACCAAAAACCAAUCAGUACCUUUCUGGGUCAUUGAGUACUUUCUGCUGCAGUAAUCUAUGCCAAGAGAACAUUGUGUCUCCGGGCUCGUCACAAUGGGAUACUUUUGCUGCUGGUCCCCCGCUUAGGCUUACCUCAGCCUCCAAAACAGACAACUGCUGAUAGCCCACUGUCACUCCAGAAAUACAGCUGGCUUCUUCCUCGCUGUAUCCUAAUGACAUUAGGGUGGGUACAUUUUGCCCUGAAGUCCACCCGAGCUUUAGACUUCUGUGGACCUGGUGUCCCAUGCAGCCAGACAGAUCCACACAGUCCUUCAAAACCAAUUACCCAUUUCCUUCUUUUGGCAUAAGCCAGAGAACUUGCGCUCCUGGUCAGAGUAUUCACUGCGUGACCAUUGCAGUGCCAGAAGUCCUUUCACCACAAUCAUGGCACACUCAGUCUUCUUCCUGUGUGUAGAGAAUCACUGUUUGCCUUCUAUUGUCUCAGCAGCAGCUGGAGUGACAGUCUUCUUGGAAGACCCUUUCUUCAUUGCUGUCUUCCUCCCCAGUUUGCAGAUGUGGGCUUGUAGCUUCAAGGGAAUACUGAGAGUUUGGAGUCUUUAAAAAAGAGGAGACAGUACCAAAACCAGGAGUUAUCAAAAGGAAGGAGGAGAUUUUAAAAGAAGAAGGUGAAGACCUUGGCUGCAGCAAGGACCCUGUCAGUGAGAAAAGUCACUAAAAGUCACAGACCUGUGUGGAGAACACCAGGGAUGCUUGGUACCAAGUGCCUGAGACAGGGAGCAGACAUCAGGAACAAACACAAAUUUCCACCGAGUAUCUCAUGCCAUCUUCCUGCUGGGAAGGAAUGUUUUGGACAUAGAGGAGGCCGGGCAUGAGCAAGUGACACAAGCAAUGUAAAAGCUCUGAUCUUGUAACUUAAAUCCAGUAUACAGGUUCCCUACAGGUUUUCAUUCUGUCUAACCCUUAGCACUGCUCAAUAUAUAUGAUUCCAUGUCUGAUACUGAAAGACCUUGAAGAAAAGGCUUGAAAAUAUGUAAAAAUUAGGAAGUUAUACAUGAAAGUUGUUUUUAUCUGCUGAAAAUGAAAUAAACUACUGGAUGAAUAGCCUUUGCCCUCUUUC